UUUGGUGGCGAUGCGCCUGGGGGAAACACCCGUACCCAUCCCGAACACGAUGGUUAAGCCCCAGACGGCCGAUGGUACUGCACUGGUGACGGUGUGGGAGAGCAGGUGGCCGCCAAAUUUAAAA
Molecule: ribosomal RNA, 124 nt
Filed under: Muricomes intestini
Lineage: Bacteria; Bacillati; Bacillota; Clostridia; Lachnospirales; Lachnospiraceae
Source: RNAcentral